RNAcentral lists this ribosomal RNA (422 nucleotides) under uncultured bacterium. Its description in RNAcentral is "bacterial SSU rRNA". It matches the Rfam family "Bacterial small subunit ribosomal RNA", at positions 355 to 774 of the family's 1533-position model. The record is from RNAcentral.
UAGGGAAUAUUGGACAAUGGGCGCAAGCCUGAUCCAGCCAUCCCGCGUGCAGGAUGAAGGCCCUCUGGGUUGUAAACUGCUUUUCUUUGGGAAUAAAAACUCGGAUUCAUCUGAGCUUGAAGGUACCAGAGGAAUAAGCACCGGCUAACUCCGUGCCAGCAGCCGCGGUAAUACGGAGGGUGCAAGCGUUAUCCGGAUUCACUGGGUUUAAAGGGUGCGUAGGUGGCUUUGUAAGUCAGUGGUGAAAUCCCGGAGCUUAACUCCGGAACUGCCAUUGAUACUGCUUAGCUUGAAUUAGGUUGAGGUGGAUGGAAUGUAACAUGUAGCGGUGAAAUGCUUAGAUAUGUUACAGAACACCAAUUGCGAAGGCAGUUCACUAAGCCUAUAUUGACACUGAGGCACGAAAGCGUGGGGAUCAAACA